RNAcentral lists this ribosomal RNA (253 nucleotides) under uncultured bacterium. RNAcentral's name for it is "partial 16S ribosomal RNA". It matches the Rfam family "Bacterial small subunit ribosomal RNA", at positions 524 to 776 of the family's 1533-position model. The record is from RNAcentral.
UACGGAGGGUGCAAGCGUUAUCCGGAUUCACUGGGUUUAAAGGGUGCGUAGGAGGGCAGGUAAGUCAGUGGUGAAGUCUCCGGGCUUAACUCGGAAACUGCCGUUGAUACUAUCUGUCUUGAAUACCGUGGAGGUGAGCGGAAUAUGCGAUGUAGCGGUGGAAUGCUUAGAUAUGACAUAGAACACCAAUUGCGAAGGCAGCUCACUACACGCAUAUUGACUCUGAGGCACGAAAGCGUGGGGAUCAAACAGG